CUAGUUUUCAAGUUAUACUAAGACUAUAGACAUAUCCUCAAAGAAGGGAAAUGCCCUGAUACUUCACUUGUGUUGGUGUAGAUGGUGUAUGGGCAUCUCUGCCGUGUGCUCCUGCACUGAACAGGAGUGUCAGUAGCAUUUUGUCCAAAAAUCUCCACUGAGGAGAGGUACGUGACAGGGAAACAGUGCAGCUUUGAGAUUUAAGUUGGCUUAUAUAUUUUUUAAGUGAAGGGUAGUUCUGAAACAGUCAUGGGUCACUGCUCCAGUUAACACUGCAUGGUUUCAAAUUUUAUUUUAUAGUAGAUCUUUAAGUAACAUGAAAUAUGACGUGAUAAUAGAGUAGAGUUAGUGGCCCAUCUUUUUUUUGUGUGUCUUUUUUUUUUAUUGACCAUCUGAUGUUACAAUCAAGGUCAUCUUCCCUAACCUGCUCACCACCUGAGGAAUUUCAAAUGCUGGCUGCUCCUAAUUACCUCCUUGGACAAAGAAAAGAAAAUUGCAGUAUUGCAGUGCACUUGGGACUUGCAGUUGAUGGUGGAAAGUUUUAACCCUGUAGACGUCUUGAGCUUUUGAAGUAGCUGCAUGAGGAUUCACCGCAUCUUCCAUGUUUUCUGUGUCUGACCUGUCAGCAAUAGUUCACAUGAAUAAAAGGUGAACUGUUUGAUCUGUGUCUCUGAGCUGCGCUAUUCAAUCCUGUUUUGUUUUGUUUUUUUAGUUGCGAUACUGAGAGCUUACUUUGAUGCCUUUGUUUGCCUGCUUGAGCUCCAUUCAAGGGUUCCCUUGGUCCAUUACCUGCUGCCAUAUUCAUGAUACACCUUACUGUCAUACCCCCCAUGAUCCUAUUGGCACACAGAUUACCCACAUCUGCUCACACUUCCUCCUGGGCCUGACAACAUCAACAUUUGCUUUGGUGAUUUAGCUAAAUGCCAAGUGAGGAACUGUAGCAUUUUAUGUUAGCUGGCAUGUGAAGCAAGACUGUCAAUAAUAUCAGCUCUUAGGAAAAGAUGAAUGUUUGCAAAAUAUGGAUCUAUUUUUUUAUUAUUAACAACCAUCUGAUUGCACUUCAUUUUCCAUCACAUGGAAUAAGUAAAAUUCAUAACAAAAUAAUGAAUUUGAAAUUAAAGUUUGGACAAGUAAAUACAUUUUUUAUUUUGUUGUUUUUUCACAAUUUUUAUCUUGGUAUGCAGUUUCCUCUAGCAGUGACAUCGUUAUCGGUUU
This is a long non-coding RNA of Astatotilapia calliptera (eastern happy), 1215 nucleotides long. Lineage: Eukaryota; Metazoa; Chordata; Actinopteri; Cichliformes; Cichlidae. The record is from Ensembl.